GACGAACGCUGGCGGCGUGCUUAACACAUGCAAGUCGAACGAAGUGGCGAACGGGUGAGUAACGCGUAAUCAAGCUGCCCUUCAGAGGGGGACGGCAGUUGGAAACGACACCUAAUACCUCAUACUGACGGAGGGGGUGUCGUCGGAUUAGCUAGUUGGAGGGGGAACGGCCCACCAAGGCGAGGCUCAGUAGCCGGGCUGGGAGGAUUAACGGCCAAAUUGGGACUGAGACAAGGCCCAGACUCCUACGGGAGGCAGCAGGGGGGAAUCUUCCGCAAUGGACGAAAGUCUGACGAAGCAACUCCGCGUGAGUGAUGACGGCCUUCGGGUUGUAAAGCUCUUUUAAUCGGGACGCGGUACCGGAAUAGAAAGCCACGGCUAACUACGUGCCAGCAGCCGCGGUAAUAC
RNAcentral lists this ribosomal RNA (408 nucleotides) under uncultured bacterium. RNAcentral describes it as "partial 16S ribosomal RNA". It matches the Rfam family "Bacterial small subunit ribosomal RNA", at positions 28 to 526 of the family's 1533-position model. The record is from RNAcentral.